Molecule: unclassified non-coding RNA, 281 nt
Filed under: plant metagenome
Description: partial contains small subunit ribosomal RNA, internal transcribed spacer 1, and 5.8S ribosomal RNA
Source: RNAcentral
UCUCCGUUGGUGAACCAGCGGAGGGAUCAUUACCGAGUUUACAACUCCCAAACCCCUAUGUGAACGUUACCAAACUGUUGCCCCGGCGGGAAAUUCAUGCCCCGGGCGCGUCGCAGCCCCGGACCAAGGCGCCCGCCGGAGGACCAACCAAAACUCUUUUGUAUGUCCCUCGCGGACUUUUAUAAUUCUGAACCAUCUCGGCGCCCCUAGCGGGCGUUUCGAAAAUGAAUCAAAACUUUCAACAACGGAUCUCUUGGUUCUGGCAUCGAUGAAGAACCAGC